Molecule: long non-coding RNA, 424 nt
Organism: Leptopilina heterotoma
Lineage: Eukaryota; Metazoa; Arthropoda; Insecta; Hymenoptera; Figitidae
Exons: 3
Source: RefSeq, a predicted model, not a curated record
AUUUGAUUAACGUAGUCGUCAAAUACUCUCUGAUUGGCUGUUUAAUACGAGGAGCGAGGAGCGAACAUGCGUAUUAGUGAAUUUGUAGUUUCUCGCCAUUUUCGGCAUCAUCUGUUUGCUUGCGUAUAAAAUGGCGAUAUUUCCUUUUAUUGGUGAAAAGUGGAGAGUUUCUCUUCAUAUUUUUAUUAACUCUAGUCAAUCAAAAGUUUUUUAACAAUUGAGAUAAUUGAUUUUUCGUUAAAUUCGGACAAAAAUUAUUAUUAAUUCGCCAAAGUGAUACUGCAAGAAACUUUACCUCGGUUGUGCACGUUAUAAGCCUCAAGAUAUUUUUUGAUACUAAUUAUAUGAGGAGCUGAGGAUAAUGAAAUGAACGUAAAUUAUAUAUAUUUUAGACUUUAACUGGUUCAAAGGAAAUAAAUUUGCG